CCUACGGGUGGUAGCAGUGAGGAAUAUUGGUCAAUGGGCGGGAGCCUGAACCAGCCAAGCCGCGUGAGGGAAGAAUGUACAGCGUAUCGUAAACCUCUUUUGUCAGGGAACAAAGGCGGGGACGAGUCCCCGGACUAGGGUAACUGAAGAAAAAGCAUCGGCUAACCCCGUGCCAGCAGCCGCGGUAAUACGGAGGAUGCGAGCGGUAACCGGAUUUAUUGGGUUUAAAGGGUGCGUAGGCGGACUUUUAAGUCAGCGGUAAAAGCCCGGGGCUCAACCCCGGCGAGCCGUUGAAACUGGCGGGCUUGAGUUGGAGAGAAGUACGCGGAAUGCGCGGUGUAGCGGUGAAAUGCUUAGAUAUCGCGCAGAACCCCGAUUGCGAAGGCAGCGUACCGGCGCCACACUGACGCUGAGGCACGAAAGCGUGGGUAUCGAACAGGAUUAGAUACCCGGGUAGUC
RNAcentral lists this ribosomal RNA (459 nucleotides) under uncultured bacterium. Its description in RNAcentral is "partial 16S ribosomal RNA". It matches the Rfam family "Bacterial small subunit ribosomal RNA", at positions 338 to 795 of the family's 1533-position model. The record is from RNAcentral.